GACGAACGCUGGCGGCGUGCUUAACACAUGCAAGUCGAACGGAAAGGCCCCUUUGGGGGUACUCGAGUGGCGAACGGGUGAGUAACACGUGAGUAACCUGCCCUUGACUUCGGGAUAACUUCAGGAAACUGGGGCUACUACCGGAUAGGAAUCCUUGCUGCAUGGUGGGGGUUGGAAAGCUUCGGCGGUUUUGGAUGGACUCGCGGCUUAUCAGCUUGUUGGUGGGGUAGUGGCUUACCAAGGCGUUGAGGGGUAGCCGGCCUGAGAGAGCGACCGGCCACAUUGGGACUGAGGUACGGCCCAGACGCCGACGGGAGGCAGCAGUGGGGAAGAUUGCACAAUGGGCGGAAGGCUGAUGCAGCAGCGCCGCGGGCGGGAUGACGGCCUUCGGGUUGUAAACCGCGUUCAGCAGGGGCGAAGCUUGUGGUGACGGUACCUGCAGAAGAAGCACCGGCUAACUACGUG
This 465-nucleotide ribosomal RNA is filed under the name uncultured bacterium. RNAcentral describes it as "partial 16S ribosomal RNA". It matches the Rfam family "Bacterial small subunit ribosomal RNA", at positions 28 to 507 of the family's 1533-position model. The record is from RNAcentral.